RNAcentral lists this unclassified non-coding RNA (1810 nucleotides) under Leishmania donovani. RNAcentral's name for it is "gene:LdHU3.27.3050(CDS-product:hypothetical_prote in_conserved)". The record is from RNAcentral. Lineage: Eukaryota; Euglenozoa; Kinetoplastea; Trypanosomatida; Trypanosomatidae.
CACUUCGCGCGUGCACAUACUCUUCAGCUAAGCAGCACCAGGCAUACCUUGCGUCCCGCGUUGUGCACAGACGUACUCACAUGCACGAACAUAUGUGUACAUGCUAACGCACGCACACUGUUUAGCGAGCUACACCGACACACACCCACCCACCCACCCCCGCACACACACACACACACACACACACACACACACACACACACACAGGUAAGCGUAAUGGCGCAGCAGCGGGGAAAGAAGGCAGCGCUGUCAAAGGCAGCCGUGGCAAAUGCGUCUGCAAGUGCGCCUGACCCGCCGCCGUUCUUUUCCAUGAGGCCCGCUACCUUCACCGACGCCAUCGUCAUCACCAAGGUCAUUUCGGUCGUGCUGCCACUGCGCCACUUGCGUGACCGCAACAUCCUGCAUGCGACGCUUCUGAAGAAGUUGCUCCAUCGCCCCUACGAGGCAUCUGCAGAGGACCUCGCCCAACAGCAGCUCUUGCAACAGGAGGCCGAAGAUGGCGCCAAGCAUAGCCGCGGUGCACACAGAGCUCUCGACAACCGUGCGGCGCCCACGUCGUCAUCUUCGUCGACACCCUACGUGAUUGUCCACAUCAAGUCCGCUGAGAUUCACGCCGACACGGCUCGCCAGGUAAACCCGCGCGGCGAUGUGCAGGUGAACAUGAUGGUGACCCUUGUCGCAGCUCGCCUCCAACACGGGAUCUGCGCCGGUGUCUCGGAGGCGUCGCCGUUCACGUCGUGCAUGCAAGUGCGGGUACCGACAGUGGCCGUGUCCGCCGCGGUGGCAGCCAGGGGCAGUACGGACGAUGCAGCAACGCUGUUACUCGGAGAUGCUUCGGAGGCAGGCACCGAUAAUGUGUCGCAGGAGGGGGUCAAAGACGAGAAGGCAGAGCCGAGCGGUGACGAUGCAGCGCUCGAUGCCUCCUUGCCAGCCACCACGACGGCUGCUGCCGCGAAGCGCAGAUGCUGCACUGGUGUCCCUGAGGAUCAACAGCUGCGCGUGACAGCGCGGUGCCUAGAGGACGAGCCGAUCGUGCCAGGUCAAGCAGUCUUGCUCAUCUCCGAGCCGGCCGCUAUGCGCUGCAUGGGCAUCCGGCCGCCGCGUGCAGCGCCAGGCCCAUUUUACCUAACAGAAACGACGCAACCGGCGGCUCAGUUCUCCAGCGGGGAGGCAGAGGGCGGGCCUGAGGCGAGGCCGAAGAAGCGCGCACGCAAGCCACGCGCGUCCGCCGGUGGCACAGGUGGUGCUACACCAGCGCGUCGUAUCGUGUCCAUCGAGUGCGCCAUCCCGAAAAGAGAGGAGGAUGGGGAGGGCGGCGCAGCAGCAAGCACCCGCAAGGGCCCGCGUAAGCGACCACACACCUAAUCGAAGUCAUUGUGGGUGACGGGGCCAAAGGUAUGGAGAGCAGGCGCGCAGAGGGUUGAGCGAAAGGGAAAGUCGGGAAGGAGGUGAGGGGUGGUGGACAACGACAUCCCCAUGGCUUGUCUGCGCUGAUUUUGCGCUCGCUACCGCGACGCAUUUACCUCCGCGCAUGUUUUCUCUGUCUCACGCUCGGCCACCUCCAGAUCUCUUUCCCUCAUCGCUUGCCAUACGUUCAUCUAACAACAUCUACGCCCGCACGUUGGCGGUUGUGCACGUGAGGGCAUGUCUUGUCCUUCGCCGACCCCUCCCCUGUGCCCCUCUUUCUCCGUCGCUACUUUACAGCUCGCUUAAAAAAACGUGCGAAGGCGCAUGCACGAAGGUAAACUCUGAAUCAAGCAUCGAUACAGGCGAUGGAGACGUGACAAUGACCACUGCGCGACUGUUUGUG